Molecule: long non-coding RNA, 233 nt
Filed under: Daucus carota (carrot)
Lineage: Eukaryota; Viridiplantae; Streptophyta; Magnoliopsida; Apiales; Apiaceae
Description: long non-coding RNA (DCAR_LNC005841)
Source: RNAcentral
AUGACUCAAUGUCAGACUUUGUGACAUGAGCUUUUCCCUUGCUCUUAGCAGCUUCCUCUUGAACUUUCAGAGCAACAGACUUUGAUUUUCCUCCAUGUCGUUUGCUCCUCUGUUCCAUCUCAAGUUCAUGAGUCUUCAGUCUUCCAUAAACAUCAUCAAGAGACAUUUCUCCAAGAUCAAGAUUGUCUCUUAUUGUAGUGACUUUCAAAUCCCAUUUUUCAGGAAGAGCUAGA